GGCGUUUAGCUCAGCUGGUUCAGAGCAUCUGCCUUACAAGCAGAGGGUC
RNAcentral lists this transfer RNA (49 nucleotides) under Coprobacter sp. RNAcentral describes it as "tRNA-Val". The record is from RNAcentral. RNAcentral also lists the same sequence under 1 other name. Lineage: Bacteria; Pseudomonadati; Bacteroidota; Bacteroidia; Bacteroidales; Barnesiellaceae.